CAUACACGACACAUAAUCAUUUUAUAAUAUAGAAGUUUCUGAUUUUAAAUGAAAAGUUUGAAAACACAAAGAGUUGAUGAAAACAUGGUCCAGAUCUGGGCAUUCAAUAUCUUCAGUCAGAUAAAUGUCCACUUUCAAGGUUAAGUGAAACACUAUCCCCUGUAAAGCAUGGGAACACCGAAGAAGAGAGUGAGACGUAUGUAGGACCCAGAAGACAGGGUGAAAGGUUUCGAAAAGCCAUUAUGUAGGUUCCCGCAACGAUUCCACGUAUCAACUCACAAUAGCUGUAGUUUCCUGCACUGGGCACACACAAGACUGGCCCUAGGAACAAUAAGCCAAGUGGGAGGGGGAGCUCGUGGGCCCCUCCCUUAGCUCUAAGCUCAAAGCUGUUGGUAGGUUCUGGGAGAGGAAGAAGCACUAUCUGCAAUUCUGGGCCCUGCUCCGAAAUACGGCUCCAGAACCAUGAUCACAUAGCCCCGCGUCAGUUUCACUUGUCAUAAAGCAAACGAAAUAGUCAUGACCACUGUGACGCCAUGAUCUGGGCAGGAGGGGUUUGCGUGAAGAGGGUAUGAAUUGUGUUCAGGUGUGAAUUGUAUAAAAACAGAUUUAAUUGAUAAUAAAAGAUAGAAUAAAAUCUUUUGGUGACUGCCACCUAGUGGUAAAAAUUAUAAUUAAAAGACAAAAAUCACAUUUUCUAAUGUAAUGCUAAAUAUUUAAUGAUGAUAGAUAUACCCUGACUGGAUUUUUUAAAACUAAUUAAUCAUUAAUGAAAUUUGCUAGCUUUGGAAACCUCUUUAGUCACAUGAAGUGGUGUCACACUUGUCCUAGUUCAUUUUGGCACCUUGUCGAAUCUGGGAAUAGGGCAAUUUAAUUUCCUCCAACAGACUGGUCUGCACACACGUCUAUGGAACAUUUUCUUGAUUGCUAGUUGAUGUAGGAGGACUGAGUCCACUGUGGACAUGCCAUCUUGAGGCCGGUGGGCCAAAGCUCUAUAAGAAAGUAGCUGAGCAAGUCCGGGAAGCAUGCAAGGCAGCAGCUUCGCUCCGUGUUAUCAGCUGCAGUUCCUGCCUCCGGGUUCCCACAUUGAGCUCUUGGGUCCCUGCAUGAUGGGUGGAGUGUAACUUGUAAGCCAAACAAACCCUUCCCUCCCCAAGUUGGUCAGUGUUUUAUCACAGCAACAGAGAACUAAACUAGGGCAAUUUCUGCACUAGGGCAAUACUUUACUUCUGCAUCAUAAGAAACAUGACCAUGAAAAGGCCUACCUCUUUUCAUGCUUAUCUUACAAUUUCUGGGGAGUCUGUUUUAUUAAACCUGAAUCUCUAUUUUGAUAUGCUUAUUGGCACAACGUGACUUUCGCCUUGUGUUGAAAUGGUACAGUACACUAUGAUGGAGAAAGAACAAAACGUGGUGUCGAUGAUGGCCAAGAGCAUGAGACUCUAACACUAAAGUUUCAGUGAGUUAUGAGAGGACAAACAAGCGCAUCUUGUCUAUGGUUGCUUUGUUUGUUUGUUUGUUUUUGUUUUUUGAGACAGGGUUUCUCUGUGUAGCCCUGGCUGUCCUGGCAUUACAUAUUUUUGGAAACAGAUGAAUUUGAUUAGAGGGAAAUGUACAGUUUAUAUUGUUGGAACAGAGAGAAACGAGCUACAUAAGUAUCAUUUUAAAGAUUGUAGUAAGUAAACACCUAAACUCACUUUGAAUUAAUACACAAAUGAAAAAAUAGAGGGGAAAAAACAAGAUGCAGAUUUUUUAAAGAUUAAGACAGUUGAUAAGGGUUGAUAAGAUAAAGCAAUUUUAAAAACCCUGUAAAAGCAAACAGGCUUUUAUUAAGUUUCCUAUUUUAAAUGACCACAGCAUCCUGCAUGUGAAAACUUGGGUGCCAUCCUGUGGCACCACUGGGCUGUGGUAGAGUUUCUAGGGUCUGGAACUGAGGGAGAAGUUAGGUUCUUUUGAGAUAUUGAAAGCUUGACUCUCUUCCUCUCCUCACCCCUCAUUGCCGUAGUCCCAUGCUGUAUGUACUGUGUUGUCCAAAGCACUUGUGGCCAGCUGACCAUGGGCUGAAAGCUCUAAAGACUUCAGGUAAAAUAAUGGGCUCUCUCUUUACAUUUACUCUUUCCUUUACUGCAGCAAAGGAACGCUGACUCACAUAGUCCCACACUAAACAACCUUUCAUCUGUGCACCUGUUGUUCCGUCUUCUCGGUCCACAAUCAUCAGACCAGCACAUUCUGUGUCUGCUGAAGAUCUGUUUCUCGUCGAUGGAGUCUUCCAUGUGGCCUCUAGGCUAUCCUCUCAGACUCUCAUGAGAAGGACUGAAACCAUUUAUGUGUGCAGAGCUUCCAUGACUCAUCGCUUCACCAAAGACGCCAACUCUCCUUUUUUUCCCCUCAUUUUUAUUUAUUCUUUGAGAACUUCAUGCAAUGUGUUUAAAUCAUAUUUCUCUUUUCUUCCAUUCCUCCUAGAUAUAGUUCUGUCUUCCCUACCCACCUGACUUUGUGUCCUUUAGAGUCUCCUUAAAGCCCUCAAGUACCAUUUGUGCUGCCCAUUUACUCAAGGAUGUACGGCCUUCACUGAGGCAUGGGCAGCUUACAAAGGGCUUCAUCCUUUAAAAUAAACUGAUUCUCCCUC
Mus caroli (Ryukyu mouse) is the source of this 2623-nucleotide non-coding RNA. The record is from RefSeq and is a predicted model, not a curated record. NCBI's taxonomy places the organism in Eukaryota, Metazoa, Chordata, Mammalia, Rodentia, Muridae.